This 497-nucleotide ribosomal RNA is filed under the name uncultured bacterium. RNAcentral describes it as "partial 16S ribosomal RNA". It matches the Rfam family "Bacterial small subunit ribosomal RNA", at positions 28 to 507 of the family's 1533-position model. The record is from RNAcentral.
GAUGAACGCUGGCGGCGUGCCUAAUACAUGCAAGUCGAGCGAACGGACGAGAAGCUUGCUUCUCUGAUGUUAGCGGCGGACGGGUGAGUAACACGUGGAUAACUUACCUAUAAGACUGGGAUAACUUCGGGAAACCGGAGCUAACACCGGAUAAUAUUGUGAACCGCAUGGUUCAAAAGGGAAAGACGGUCUUGCUGACACUUAUAGAUGGAUCCGCGCUGCAUUAGCUAGUUGGUAAGGUAACGGCUUACCAAGGCAACGAUGCAUAGCCGACCUGAGAGGAUGAUCGGCCACACUGGCACUGAGACACGGUCCAGACUCCUACGGGAGGCAGCAGUGGGGAAUCUUCCACAAUGGGCGCAAGCCUGACGGAGCAACGCCGCGUGAGUGAUGAAGGUCUUCGGAUCGUAAAGCUCUGUUAUUAGGGAAGAACAUAUGUGUACGUAACUGUGCACAUCUUGACGGUACCUAAUCAAAAAGCCACGGCUAACUACGUG